CGGCAACAGCUCAAAUUUGAAAUCUGGCGCAAGCCCGAGUUGUAAUUUGCAGAGGAUGCUUUGGGUACGGUGCCUUCCGAGUUCCCUGGAACGGGACGCCAUAGAGGGUGAGAGCCCCGUACGGUUGGAUGCCUAGCCUCUGUGAAACUCCUUCGAC
Molecule: ribosomal RNA, 157 nt
Filed under: Clonostachys sp.
Lineage: Eukaryota; Fungi; Ascomycota; Sordariomycetes; Hypocreales; Bionectriaceae
Description: partial large subunit ribosomal RNA
Rfam family: Eukaryotic large subunit ribosomal RNA
Source: RNAcentral